Molecule: non-coding RNA, 135 nt
Organism: Hordeum vulgare subsp. vulgare (domesticated barley)
Lineage: Eukaryota; Viridiplantae; Streptophyta; Magnoliopsida; Poales; Poaceae
Source: Rfam
GUACUACUCCCUCCGAUCUAUAUUACUUGUCUUAGAUUUGUCCAGAUACGGAUGUAUCUAAACCUAAAACAUGUCUAGAUACAUCCGUAUCUAGACAAAUUUAAGACAAGUAAUAUGGAUCGAAGGGAGUAAUAU